This 206-nucleotide long non-coding RNA is filed under the name Mytilus galloprovincialis (Mediterranean mussel). The record is from RNAcentral. Lineage: Eukaryota; Metazoa; Mollusca; Bivalvia; Mytilida; Mytilidae.
UAAAAAAGAUAGUGAAGAUACAAACACACUUUGGUUAAUAUUCAAAAACUCAUUACAAAACACUAUCACCGAGAACAUACCACAGAAAAUGAUGAGAAACAGCAAACAUUUACCUUGGAUAACAGACAGUAUUAGACGGCAAAUGAAAAAGUACAAGAAAAAAUAUCAAAAGUACAAAUUGAAAGGCAAAGGGAAACUAGACCAAC